UGAGACCUCAGGUCAGGCGG
RNAcentral lists this ribosomal RNA (20 nucleotides) under Abrus precatorius (Indian licorice). RNAcentral describes it as "partial large subunit ribosomal RNA". The record is from RNAcentral. RNAcentral also lists the same sequence under 22 other names. Lineage: Eukaryota; Viridiplantae; Streptophyta; Magnoliopsida; Fabales; Fabaceae.